UCGAGCGAAUCGAUGGGAGCUUGCUCCCUGAGAUUAGCGGCGGACGGGUGAGUAACACGUGGGCAACCUGCCUAUAAGACUGGGAUAACUUCGGGAAACCGGAGCUAAUACCGGAUACGUUCUUUUCUCGCAUGAGAGAAGAUGGAAAGACGGUUUACGCUGUCACUUAUAGAUGGGCCCGCGGCGCAUUAGCUAGUUGGUGAGGUAAUGGCUCACCAAGGCGACGAUGCGUAGCCGACCUGAGAGGGUGAUCGGCCACACUGGGACUGAGACACGGCCCAGACUCCUACGGGAGGCAGCAGUAGGGAAUCUUCCGCAAUGGACGAAAGUCUGACGGAGCAACGCCGCGUGAACGAAGAAGGCCUUCGGGUCGUAAAGUUCUGUUGUUAGGGAAGAACAAGUACCAGAGUAACUGCUGGUACCUUGACGGUACCUAACCAGAAAGCCACGGCUAACUACGUGCCAGCAGCCGCGGUAAUACGUAGGUGGCAAGCGUUGUCCGGAAUUAUUGGGCGUAAAGCGCGCGCAGGUGGUUCCUUAAGUCUGAUGUGAAAGCCCACGGCUCAACCGUGGAGGGUCAUUGGAAACUGGGGAACUUGAGUGCAGAAAAGGAAAGUGGAAUUCCAAGUGUAGCGGUGAAAUGCGUAAAG
This 650-nucleotide ribosomal RNA is filed under the name Peribacillus frigoritolerans. RNAcentral's name for it is "bacterial SSU rRNA". It matches the Rfam family "Bacterial small subunit ribosomal RNA", at positions 62 to 695 of the family's 1533-position model. The record is from RNAcentral. Lineage: Bacteria; Bacillati; Bacillota; Bacilli; Caryophanales; Bacillaceae.